AUGAAUUUUGACAAUAGCAUCAGGCGACUGCAGUUGCUAGGGACUGGUUUCCAGAGAAACAAAUAUUUCUUGGCUUUUCCAGGCUCUGGGCAUGCCUCAAGAGGCUAUAAUGUGCUACCAGCGUGCUCUUCAGGUACAUCCAGACUAUGCCAUGGCAUAUGGUGAGCACCUCAACGGCUCAACCUUUAGCAUAAUUAAGUCAUGUUAUCCUAUUUUUUCAUUAAGUGGCUGAUAAUCAAUUAGAGGGAUGAUUGCUUUUUAGUAAUUCUUUUCACUAAGAGGCUGUAAAUUUGAUUUUAAUGUUCAUAUUUGUAUGUAUAAUGCAUUCUCUUUUGUGAUUGAUUUCUAUGAUUACCAUUACAAGUGAACUUGUAGAUGGUGUUACACUUGAUAAGAAGCUGGACUUACUGAACUGGGGUGCAAGGGAGCAGAACACAGCCACCUUUCCAUUAAAAACUUUACCAGACAUCAUACUUUAUCAUCUUUUCAUUUAAACUUUAAGUUUUAACAUCCCAUAACAACAAUUUACUCAAAUUUCAAUUAUCAGGCUUAACAAUAUUGUGUUAUUGAAUAUGUGCUGACCUGGACCUUGCUAUGCAUCUUAACAAGAGUAAUGAGUCUUUGAUGCAGCAAAUCUUGCUAGUACAUACUAUGAACAAGGCCAGCUGGAUUUGGCGAUACUUUACUACACUCGGGCUAUAACUUGUGAUCCACGGUUUGUGGAGGCAUUUAAUAAUCUGGUAGAUUGCUUAUACAUACAAUCCCCUAAAUAUCUACUUACAUUGUUAUCCUUUAAACUAAUAUGAUUUGAUUGACCUAAUUUUUGCGUGUCUUAAAGGGAAACUCUCUGAAAGAUGCUGGUCGAGUGGAAGAAGCUAUCAGUUGUUAUCAGGUGAGUUUAUUACACUGCUAUGUGUCACAAGUUCCUAGUUGUGUUCUGCUUCUUAUCUGACUGUAUAUCUUUUCCUUGCGAAGUCAUGCCUUCAACUCCAACCCAACCACCCACAGGCUCUUACAAAUCUUGGAAAUAUAUACAUGGAAUGGUGAGGCUUUGGUAAUGAUGUUUGAACAAGAAAGUAUGACCUCUGUUCUUUGGGUAGUUUAUUAAAAUUCAGAUAUGGAUGUGCAGGAACAUGAUAGGUACAGCAGCUUCAUUCUACAAGGCAACAUUAGCUGUAACAACUGGUUUAUCUGCUCCUUUCAGUAAUUUAGCAGUAAUAUACAAACAACAGGUUUGCAUCAACUUUUAACUCCACUCAUCGAGUCACUUUUUACUUGCUUAUUUAAAUGCAGGACGCUAUGUUAUAUCAACUAAACUAUUCGUUAGUUGCAGUUUUGCCAUUAAUUUUGCUUUGAAUUGCUGUUGUUUUUCAGUACACCCAUCUUUCAUGUGACAGGGAAGUUAUGCCGAUGCUAUAGCUUGUUACAAUGAAGUUCUCCGCAUAGAUCCUAUGGCAGCUGAUGGGCUGGUGAACAGGGGGAACACUUUCAAGGAGAUUGGCAGAGUUAGUGAGGCCAUUCACGAUUACAUUCAGGCUGUCACAGUCAGACCAACUAUGGCUGAAGCUCAUGCAAAUUUAGCUUCAGCUUACAAGGAUAGGUACUCUAUUUUGUUUCUCCCUUUGUUCCCUCCAGAUUCCUGCUUCUGCUUUAGGCUGUUCAAGAUAUUGCUGUAUUGGGGAUAUUACUGUAUUGAUGCAUAAUUGUUGAUUUCGUCCUUUUUAUUUUAUGUGAUUAUUUACAGUGGACAUGUAGAAGCAGCUAUAAAGAGUUAUAAACAGGCACUGCUUCUACGUCCAGAGUUUCCAGAGGCAACUUGUAAUCUUCUCCACACGUUACAGGUAAGAUCACGAGGCCUCAAUUUGUUUGGAGCGCAGUUUAGAGCACGGUUUACCAAACUGACCUUCGGUUCGGGAGUACCAACCUCAAUUGGUGCAGAAUUGGGUCAGUUGAGCCUCUUGCUUUACGAAAUGGUGCGAACUGGUCCGAACCACUCUGGUUUGGUUCUGCUCAGUUUGGCGUGGUUCAAGCCAGUUCAGACUAGCCCAGGACUAAAAAGAUAGAAGGUCAUUGGACGCCAUUCUCCUCUGUUUUCUUCAAAAUUGUGAAAGGAAGGAUGGGUUUGGCGAGGCAAACUUGUAUAUUCUACUGCAAGAUUUAAUUUUGGAAUAAAAAUUUAAAAUCUUUGCCCUAAAAGUUUGAAAGAGAAACUAUUGAACACACAACACAACAUUUAAUAUUUGAAUAAAAAUCUUGCCCACCAUUAAUAAGCUUUUUCAUAACCUAUGCCAUGCCCUUAAAUAAAAUAAUUCACCAUCAAUUGAGCUUUCUAUUGCUUAAUAGAACCAUCAACACAUAAAAAAUCACUUUCCAUGAAUAGUGAUUGGAGAUGACAAGCUCGUAUAUGUUAGUAUGUUGAAGAACAAAAUGCACCUUAAUCAUAGCCUUUUGUCAUUUAGGAACCUUCGAUAUUCACCUGUAAUGUUUUAACUUCUGAUGGGAACAAAGAUUGCAUAAACGAAAUGAAAGUUUAAGAGAUCGUAAGAAUGUUUGGUUAGAUCAAUGUGUCUCUAGUAGAUGUUGAUUGUAAAUCAGGCAGCACAGAGAGAGAGAGAGAGAGAGAGAGAGGUGCAACCUUAAGCCUAGGAGCAAGACACCUAUAAGACCUUUGGUGUCAUGUUCACUUAUAUUUUGGGAUAAGGUAGCCUAUUUAAUGAAAUGAAGGCAAAAAUAGUAGAGUUGAAAGUAAGGGGAGGAUGAGAAAAGUCAAAAGCAAGAGUUCAUGAAGAAGGUAACAGUUCAAAGAAAGAGGUAGAUAAUGAAAACUAGGGCAUACAAUAAUAUGCAUCUGCUAUCAAGUUACAAAUAUAUGUUUAAUUAUAACAAUUGCAUCCAUUAAGCAAUCAUAUGGUCUCUCAGGACCCAUAUGAAAAAAAAUAACAUCAAAACACGCUUAAAAUCAUAAUUUUAAAAAUCAAUAAAUCUAAUAUUAAAAAUUAAAAACCGAAAAAACAAAAAGGGUGAAAAAUAGUGAACUUGUAAUCAGUAUGGAUUUGUGUACCAAGUGUCAUUACGGUUCAGCCAGGUACCCUUGGUACCAUGAUUGCAGACUUUGAUUUGAAGUCUCAUUUAUGUUCAUUUGUUUUUCUGUACAUUUGAGUGUGCAUUUCCAUUUUCAUUCCCUCAUGUUCUUAAAAAGUGAAUGUCAUUUUUGAUGAGUUUGCUGAUUUAGAGUACACCAAAUAAAAAUAGAAGCUGAAUUUUGGGUACCAAGGCUCAUGCCGAUGCAGUUAAUGGCUGUUUAGAUGGUCACUUGCAACAUACAAUUUUCUAGUGUAACCUGCUCCCAAUUGAAAUGAGCAUCAUGGGGUUUUAUCUUUAAGCAUGUCUGAUCCUAAGCUCCACCUUACCCUACCUACUCUGUCCUACCAUUAAAGCUAAUUAUGUAAUUUCCUAUAGGCCCUUUAUGACCUUCAGGCUGUUGAAGGCACACCUAUUUCUCAUUUGUGAUUGUAGUUCAAAUGAAAUCAAGAUGCUUUAUUGUUGUUGUUGUUAUUAUUAUUAUUAUUAUUUUGAUAUAAUGUUUUCCUUGGAUUAAUUUGUGCAGUGCCUCUGUGAUUGGGACAAUCGGGAGAGCAAGUUUGUUGAAGUUGAAGGAAUCAUUAGAAGGCAGAUAAAGGUCUUCAACCAUUAAACUGAUUGUUAAUUGUGUCUUUCGCAUUGUUUGUUUGGACAGGAUUUGGUGAGUUAUCCAUCUAUUCUUUAUAACCAGAUGUCAGUUCUUCCAAGUGUGCAACCAUUUCACGCUAUUGCAUAUCCAAUUGAUCCCAUGCUUGCACUGGAAAUUAGGUGACAGGCUCUUUUCUUUUGCCAGCUUGUUCAUUUAUUAAAAAAAUGAUGCUGUGUGCUGAUUGAUUGUCAUUGUCUCAGCCGAAAAUAUGCAGCUCAUUGCUCUUUGAUUGCUUCUCGUUAUGGGCUCCCUCCAUUUGCUCAUCCCCCUUGUAUGCCUGUGAAGAGUGAAGGUAGACGUGGACGACUCAGGGUGGGGUAAGUAUAUUACCAUUUUCUACAUGAUAAACCACCUGUUACUUGAUUAACUUACAAGGCUUGCAUGGUUUGCAGAUAUGUAAGUAGCGACUUUGGUAACCAUCCUCUAUCACAUCUUAUGGGUUCUGUAUUUGGAAUGCAUAACCGAGAAAACAUCGAGGUUCCUUCAAUGCUUAUUUUUUUUCUUUCGGAUGGUCUUUUGCUACCUUAUAAUUUCUUUGGAUAUUUAUAUUAGUUGAAGUUACAGGUCUUUUGUUAUGCCUUGAGUCAAAAUGAUGGCAGUGAGUGGAGGCAGCGAAUCCAGUCUGAAGCUGAACAUUUCAUCGAUGUGUCUGCCAUGUCAUCUGAUAUGAUUGCCAGAAUGAUCAAUGAGGAUAAAAUACACAUCUUGAUCAACCUGAAUGGCUACACUAAGGUAUUUGCUGAUUUGUUCAGAAAAAAUUCUUUGGUUGCUUGGUUACAUGCCUCUAUAAAUUUGCAAGGAAACCAUAUAUUUGAUCCAUAUAUCAUUAUACUAUAAUUAUCUCAUAAAUAAUUCUGUGUAUAAGUGGAGGCCUUAAUCACACAAGCAGUGUAACACUUUUGGCUUUCAACUUUAAGUAUGCUUAAAGUCAUAUAAAUUGAAUUCUCAUGAAGAUGGGAAUAACAUGUAGAAUUUUCUUAUUGAACUGUGUAAUUUCUUUUUUUUNUUUUUUUUGCGUCUCAAGUAAUAUAAAUGAUAUCGCCUUCUAAUUGAAUUCCAACAGAGAUGGGUAACAUGUAAAAUUUUCUUAUUGGGCAUAGGUCUAAUUUGUGUGUGCGCUUUUUGUCUCAAGUAAGAUAACUGACUAUUGUUUUCUUCUCAUGCUAGCAUGUUCUGUUCCUCUUGUGGAGAUUAUGCAUAUCAUGUGAAAUUAUUAAAAUACAAAAGAAGUGCACAAAUUUCAAAAUGCAAUGUCUAAGGUUUUAAUGUAUAACCUAGACAUUUUUGCAUAUCAAGGUGCAGAAUUGUGCUCCGGAACAGGUGCAGCAGUGAGCUUGCUGCAAUCAGGCAACAAAAGCCAUCUUCUACUCUGCAUAAGGCUCAUUUGGUCACUGCAUGCAAUGAACCACAAAUUCAUGACCUGACUUUCUGAGGAAACCACCGGGCAUGGUGAAUGUAUCUUGUGAGUUUGGACUAAGUAGCAGCUUGAUUAAUAGGGAACAACAAACUUGUUGGCCAUGGUUUUGUGAGAAGGGAAAGCAAUGCAUAUGGUUCCACUGCAUCUGACUUCGGCCUUGGAUUGGUAUAAAAGAAUCCAGAAAGCUGAACCUGGAUAGAAAGGGAAGACACGCUACAUAUGCUCAGGCUUCUUGGUUUUCAUUUUCGUGAUAGGCAUAUAAUGGUUGUCAGAUAAUGCAAAAAAAAAAACUAGAGUCUAAUGGAUUGGGCAGGAAAAGAUGAAUUGAUUUCUCUCAUAUCGGAUGAGUUCUGCUUAGGAUGGUAAAAUUGAUAUUAUGGCUGCCACUAAUGUCAUUGUAGUUGAUUUAGUCUUGCUCAUUAGUUUGGCGCACUUCUCAGUUUAGCCUCAAUAUUAAGCUCCAUUAGCAUGUCAGUUGUAAUUAUGCUGGGACAUGACUGUUAAAUAAUAGCUAAAAGGGUUUUUCUAAGGCCUUGGCUCUAUCGAAUAACGUCUGAAAAAAUAUUUUCAAAGCUUACCCAGUGUUGCCAUAUAGAUUACUUUCAUUACAUAUUUGAAGUCUUUUCUUUUUUUUUGACAUUUCACAGGGUGCAAGAAAUGAAAUUUUUGCCAUGCAGCCAGCACCCAUCCAGGUUUCUUACAUGGGGUUCCCAGGAACCACAGGUGCAACAUACAUUGACUACUUGGUCACUGAUGAGGUUUGACAAAAUGAGUAUCUUUUUCUGUGUUUUCUGCCCUGUUAGCUUGUGAAGUUUUUGCUUUCACAAUGGUUUUAUUAUUAUUCAUCUUUGCAGUUUGUUUCUCCUACAUGUUUUUCACAUAUCUAUUCAGAAAAGCUUGUGCAUCUGCCCCAUUGUUACUUCGUGAAUGAUUAUAAGCAGGUAUUCUGUAUUUUGGUUUAAGGUGUAUUACUUGCUAUUUAUUGAAGUUGUCCUUAUAUUGUGUUUGUGCAUGUUUUUCAGAAAAAUCGUAAUGUUCUGGAUUCAGCCUGUCCGCAUAGCCGUUCAGAUUAUGGACUGCCGGAAGAUAAAUUUAUCUUUGCAUGCUUUAAUCAGCUGUACAAGAUGGACCCUGAAAUAUUUAAUACUUGGUAAUACACUUUUAUUAAUGCGAGAGGCACAUCAUUCUAUACAAAGUCACUUGAUGCUCAGAUAUAUAUGUUUAUUCAUACAUCGCCAACAGUUGCUGCAUAUUUGAACAUAAACAUCAGAUAAAUCUCUCUAUUAUUCCUGCUGAUUCAUUUUCCCAAUUUCAGGUGCAACAUUCUCAAGCGUGUUCCAAAUAGUGCACUAUGGCUGCUACGAUUUCCUGCAGCUGGUGAGAUGAGACUUCGAGCAUGUAAGUAGAUGUUGCCAGUUGUCUUUAUUUGGGUGCUCUGUAGAUGCACUGGAUUCAGUAUGUGUGUUUUGCAUAUGACAAGGAUAACUACAUACUGGCAUCUGCAGAUGCUGUUGCACAAGGAGUGAGACCAGAUCAGAUCAUAUUCACAGAUGUUGCUAUGAAGAACGAACACAUCAGACGCAGUGCUUUAGCGGAUCUUUUUCUCGAUACGUAAGCUUGAUCAACUGCAAUAUAAAUUCCUUGUAUAUAUGCACACAUUCACAUUGAAUUUAUGCAUACUGGUGAUGUGGAUUUAUGUUGGCAGGCCUCUAUGUAAUGCGCACACAACAGGUACAGAUAUAUUAUGGGCUGGUUUGCCAAUGAUAACACUACCACUAGAAAAAAUGGCCACCAGGGUGGCUGGUUCACUGUGUCUAGCCACUGGAGUUGGGGAAGAGAUGAUCGUAAGCAGGUAAUUGUAACUAUCUAGCUUUGCGGCUUAAAAAAAAAAAUGAAUUCACUAUUAAGAUGAAAAUCAAAUGUAUUUUUGUUGCUGUUUCUGUUGUUUCUAGCAUGAAAGAUUAUGAAGACAAGGCGGUUGCUUUGGCUCAAAACCCUUCAAAACUUGAAGCAUUAACCAAUAAGUUGAAGAAAGCUAGGAUGACCUGCCCUUUGUUUGACACCAGAAGAUGGGUAAGUUCUUAUUCUAGAUGAGUGGCAGUGGCUUCGAAUAUAGUCUCUAUCACAGAGCAAGCAUUCGUGAGAGUUAUUCUGCCACAAGGUGCACCUUCCCUUGCAUGACUUUCUUCAACAUGUUUUGAUGGGCUGACAUGGUACUGCUGAUCAUUUCAGGUUCGGAAUCUGGAGAGAGCAUACUUUAAAAUGUGGAAUUUGCAUUGCUCUGGUCAACAUCCACAACCCUUUAAAGUGACAGAGAAUGAUAAUGAGUUCCCAUGUGACAGAUAGGUGGCGGCGGCUUUGUAAAUAAAGCUAGGGUUGCAACAUACCAUAGGAAAAUGGUGUUAUGAUUGGUUAUCCAAAUGAUGCACGGGGCUGUAUUUGAUAAGCCCUUGUUUGGAAGGAGAUAAAGAGGUCUCCAUUGAAUUCAAAUACCAUGCUGUCUGUGCCCGGAUAUGAUCUAGGUAUAUGGUGUAUUGUUAAAGGUAAGAUCAAACUCCCUGUAUCAACUCUGUUAUAUAGUGUAGUACUAAAUACCAGUUAUCAUGAGAUUGGUAUUGAAUCUGGUAUGAGAUGCCUGGCGUUUGAGGUUUUGGAUAUGUUAUUUAUGAGUCUGUUGUUGCUGUUAACAGAUAAAUUGGCUGAUUUGGUAGUUUCUGGAUGAGCAUGUUAAUGUGGUUCCCAUCUGGCGGGCUUGAUGUCGAUUGUGAAAGUUCUCCAUGACUUGGUGGUCGGCAUUUGCCUUGCUGGCUAAAAUAUUUUUAAGGCAGACAUGGUGAUUCGCGGCAUUGAGAAGAGGUUUCAUGAUACAAGCAUUAAAUAAUUUUGCAAGCAAUUUGUGCAACGUCUGCCAGUUGAAGCUUUUUCACUAUUGAUUUUGAAAUUAUGGGAUCGGGUCUCAGCUCUCGUUUUGGUGUGAAGUGGUUUACUGUCGAUCUGAAUUGCAAACCACUGUGAUGGAAGGUUGUCAGAAUUGCUUCAAAUCGGGGAAGAAAAUGUUUUGCGGCUUGGUGAGGCAAAAAUUCUAUGAACUCUGGAUCCUGUUAGCAAACUGUGCUUGCCAGUGCUUCAAGACUGUAUAGAGUACCAAGGCUGCACUGCUAGGAUCGAAGCAGCAUUAUGUUUGUUGCUGGUCUGGAAAUUGCUGUUUUGGAGUUUUUGCAGCAACGCUGGGACUUUGAUCUCAUUCAGCCUAUCACUUAGGAUGGUCCUAAAGUUUCUCCAGGUCAGACUGGGGGAGGGA
This 8448-nucleotide long non-coding RNA is filed under the name Elaeis guineensis (African oil palm). Its description in RNAcentral is "long non-coding RNA (EGUI_LNC004880)". Lineage: Eukaryota; Viridiplantae; Streptophyta; Magnoliopsida; Arecales; Arecaceae. The record is from RNAcentral.